RNAcentral lists this small RNA (77 nucleotides) under Xanthomonas prunicola. RNAcentral's name for it is "sX9 sRNA". It matches the Rfam family "Xanthomonas sRNA sX9". The record is from RNAcentral. Lineage: Bacteria; Pseudomonadati; Pseudomonadota; Gammaproteobacteria; Lysobacterales; Lysobacteraceae.
AUGGACCACACGUACGCUCCGGUUCUGAGCGCGCCGCCCACACCCACCUGACGACUGCUCGCUACGUUCUGUUAGCC